CCUACGGGUGGCAGCAGUGAGGAAUAUUGGUCAAUGGGCGCGAGCCUGAACCAGCCAAGCCGCGUGAAGGAUGACUGCCCUACGGGUUGUAAACUUCUUUUAUAAAGGAAUAAAGUGAGGCACGUGUGCCUGUUUGUAUGUACUUUAUGAAUAAGGAUCGGCUAACUCCGUGCCAGCAGCCGCGGUAAUACGGAGGAUCCGAGCGUUAUCCGGAUUUAUUGGGUUUAAAGGGAGCGUAGAUGGGUUGUUAAGUCAGUUGUGAAAGUUUGCGGCUCAACCGUAAAAGUGCAUUUGAAACUGGCAGCCUUGAGUACAGGAGAGGUAGGCGGAAUUCGUGGUGUAGCGGUGAAAUGCUUAGAUAUCACGAAGAACUCCGAUUGCGAAGGCAGCUUACUAGACUGCCACUGACAUUGAUGCUCGAAAGUGUGGGUAUCAAACAGGAUUAGAUACCCUAGUAGUC
Molecule: ribosomal RNA, 460 nt
Filed under: uncultured bacterium
Lineage: Bacteria
Description: partial 16S ribosomal RNA
Rfam family: Bacterial small subunit ribosomal RNA
Source: RNAcentral